Pseudophryne corroboree (corroboree frog) is the source of this 2517-nucleotide long non-coding RNA. RefSeq lists it as uncharacterized. The record is from RefSeq and is a predicted model, not a curated record. NCBI's taxonomy places the organism in Eukaryota, Metazoa, Chordata, Amphibia, Anura, Myobatrachidae. The transcript is spliced from 4 exons.
CACUGUGACAAUAACUAGCCCUGGCACCGCUCACAUUAAAUAGAUUUAAUUGUCCAGUUCGAGCGGUGCCUGGGCCGGCUUACAUCACGUGAUCGCCGCAGUCAGCUAGGAGCGGGAAGUUCAAUAGUGCUUAGCACAGCUUCCUUUAUCCCCUGUGUGCUCCAGGCACAAGCAUACAACAGCCCCGGGCAGCUCAUCCGGAUCACAUACCGGACUGAUGCUGCUGCUCCAGAGAAGGUGAACUCAUAAAGAAAGGAGGCGCAGCCCGUUCUCUAUUCUCUCCCCCUUCUGCGCCUCCUUCCUGCCCGACGGCCAUGGGCUGUCCCCCUGCCCACGGAGCUUCCACUGCAGACACGAUACUCCCCUGCAGGCAUACGCAGCUAUGGGCUGUCCCAGUGCCCUCCGGAGCUUCAUCUGCAGCCACGGUCCCCAGCACCAGCACUUUCCGUGACACCCACAGCGGCAGAGCUGAUCACUCCUUCUCAUAGGAUGCCAUGGCUGCGGGACCCGCGGAGGUGAUGGACGGAGUAGAGUGCACACUGAAAGAGCUGCUGAGGGGCCAGGACUCAGAGCGUCUGCAGGGAAAGGUGUCGGCGAAGCUGAGCCAGCUAGUGGUACUGGAGAGAGUAGCUGCCCACAGCCAAGGGCUCUCGGCACGUUGCCAUGGGAACCGGCAAAGCCUGAUAACGUCACUUCCGGGGGGGCUAAGACGCCGUGACCGGAAGUGCAGGACAGGGGACGCUCGGGAACUCUGUGGUCCACGCAGCUGAGAGUCAUCUCUGUGGGGAAUAGUUUAUCUGCACCCUCUGGGAUAGGCUGCUUUGAGAGUUGAUACCUUUGAGUUUUUUUAUGGUGUCCAGAUGCACUUUCAUCAUGCUCUGAAGAAAAAGAAAUGGACCGCUAAACCCUGUGCGUCAAAUGAGCCAGCACUAAUUACCGGAGGAAUAGAAGAUUCACUUCCUGAGUUAACCCUUAUAAUGUCACAGCAUCAUUCUAAAUGCAUCAGUAGUCAGCUGAAAGGAGUGGUUGUAUAUGUGUGCAUUUAUAUAUAUAUAUAUAUAUAUAUAUAUAUACUUAACUAUCCCUUUAAAUCAGAACACACUCAUGAAUAACACAGGUUCCGUGGCUGGCUGAGUUCAAGCCGGCAUAUCAACUUGUUUUAACUAGCCACAGAACCUGUGUAAUUCAUGUGUGUACCAGUUUAAAGGGAUAGUAUGGUAAGCCUGUACAUUUUCUGGAACUAGACAUACAAAUAAAAUUGAUUUAAAAAGGUGCUGCUAUUGUGUAUCACUGAGAACCACCAGAACAAUAACGUUUUAUAUAUAUAUACUGUAUAUAUGUUGGGGUUUUUUAUCUAGUUUUUAAUGGAAUUAAAAAUAGCUUAAUAUCUCCAUAUACUAUAAAAAUGUAGCAGAAAUGUAGCAGAACAAAUAAACAAUUGGGGAAAAAAACAAAUUUGAUAGGCAUUAUGUUUACAAAAAAAUGAAUCUACAUUUUUGAUUCACCAAAGUAGCCAACUUUUGCAGAGAUAACCACAGAGCACACUCUUGACAUUUCUACAAUGAAAAUUAAAUAUUGGAUGGAAGGUUCCUCCACACACUGCUGAAGAAGUUCACACAAAUGUGUUGUACUUGUUGAUUGCUUUCUUUUUACCCUUCUGUUGAGUUCAUCCUACAUCAGCUCAAUGGGAUUUCAAUUUCGAGACCGCACUGGCCAUUCCAUGAUUUGAAGCCUAUCAUCUUGUUCUUUUCCUUGAAAGUAGUUCCAACAUAGCCUGGAGAGAGAGAGGAGAGAGAAGAGAUUGGAGAGAGAGAGAGAGAGAGAGAGAGAGAGAGAUUCUUACUUUACUUGUGAUGAGCGGUAGCAAGCAGCAGCAGUUGGCUCCAGUACCCAAAGUCCCUCCUCCUCAGACACUGCAGGAGAGGAGGAGGGGAGGUGGAGUACACGGGGGAGAGAAGAGAGACUCAUACUGCCCAUCGCUGCCUGCUGUAAUGUACAUUAGCAGUGAUGCAUCCGGCAGAAAACACUACUAUUAUACAAUGCAGUAGGCAGCGCUGCAGCUGGGGUGGUAGCCAAUCAGGGUGGAUAUGGAUGCUAUGCCCACAGGACAAAUUUGCUCUUGGCUACGCACUGUCAGCACCACUCUAGUUAUGGCCCUGAACCACCUUAUGGGGGCAAUUAAUCUAGCCUUGGAGAGAGAUAAAGUGGAGCUGUUGCCCAAAGCACCCAGUCAACUUCUGUCAUUUCAAAGACUGUGCUGGAUAAAAGACAAAAACAAGUUAGUUGCUUUGGGCAACUUCUCCAAUUUACCUUUUCCCAGGCAUGCUACAUCUCCCCUAUGUUUUUUUUCUGGAUGACUUCAUUCAGUCACUCAGAAGAAACAAGUAGAAUGGCUUCUCAGAUUGCUAGUUCAAGUUGGAAUUCUCUAUCAAAUAUCCUGGGAGCAAUGGUGAUAUACUGUAUCUUGUGAGAAAUACUAAGAUUUUUUUUUAUUCUAUUUUAAAGUAUGCAUUGAAU